GAUGAACGCUGGCGGCGUGCCUAAUACAUGCAAGUCGAGCGGACGGACCAGGAUCUUGCGUCUCGCUUGUUAGCGGCGCGCGUGAGAGUAACGCGUGUAUAAUCUACCUAUAAUACUGGUAUAACUUCGGGAAACCGUAUCUAAUACGGGAGAAGAUUUUGAACCGCAGGGGUCGAAAGUAAAAUACGGUGGUGCGGGCACGUAUAGAUGGAUCCGCGCUGCAUUAUCUAGUUGGUAAGGUAACGGCUUACCAAGGCAACGAUGCAUAGGCGAGGUGAGGGGGUGAUCGGCCACACUGGAACGGGGACAGGCUCAAGAGUCCUACGGGAGGCAGCAGUAGCCAAUGUGACGCAACGGGCGGAAGCAUGACGCAGCAAGGCCGAGUGAGUGAUGACGGUCUUGCGAUCGUAAAAAUCUGUUAUUAGUGAAGAACAUAUGUGUAAGUAAAUGUGCACAUCUUGACGGUAACGAAUAAGAAAGCAACGGCUAACUACGUG
This 497-nucleotide ribosomal RNA is filed under the name uncultured bacterium. RNAcentral describes it as "partial 16S ribosomal RNA". It matches the Rfam family "Bacterial small subunit ribosomal RNA", at positions 28 to 507 of the family's 1533-position model. The record is from RNAcentral.